GCCGAAGUGGCGGAAUGGCAGACGCGCUGCGUUCAGGGCGCAGUGCCCUUAAGGGCAUGAGGGUUCAAAUCCCUCCUUCGGCACCA
Molecule: transfer RNA, 86 nt
Filed under: Chloroflexi bacterium CG07_land_8_20_14_0_80_51_10
Lineage: Bacteria; Bacillati; Chloroflexota
Description: tRNA-Leu
Rfam family: tRNA
About the family: Transfer RNA (tRNA) molecules are approximately 80 nucleotides in length. Their secondary structure includes four short double-helical elements and three loops (D, anti-codon, and T loops). Further hydrogen bonds mediate the characteristic L-shaped molecular structure. tRNAs have two regions of fundamental functional importance: the anti-codon, which is responsible for specific mRNA codon recognition, and the 3' end, to which the tRNAs corresponding amino acid is attached (by aminoacyl-tRNA synthetases). tRNAs cope with the degeneracy of the genetic code in two manners: having more than one tRNA (with a specific anti-codon) for a particular amino acid; and 'wobble' base-pairing, i.e. permitting non-standard base-pairing at the 3rd anti-codon position.
Source: RNAcentral